GUAGGAAUCUACCUAGUAGUUGGGGACAACCUGGUGAAAACCAGGCUAAUACCGAAUAAGCCCUACGGGGGAAAGUGGAGGAUCUUCGGACUUCACGCUAUUAGAUGAGCCUGCGUCGGAUUAGCUAGAUGGUGGGGUAAAGGCUUACCAUGGCAACGAUCCGUAGCUGGUCUGAGAGGACGAUCAGCCACACUGGGACUGAGACACGGCCCAGACUCCUACGGGAGGCAGCAGUGGGGAAUAUUGGACAAUGGGGGCAACCCUGAUCCAGCAAUGCCGCGUGUGUGAAGAAGGCCUGCGGGUUGUAAAGCACUUUCAGUAGGGAGGAAAAGUUCAAGGUUAAUACCCUU
This 350-nucleotide ribosomal RNA is filed under the name uncultured bacterium. Its description in RNAcentral is "bacterial SSU rRNA". It matches the Rfam family "Bacterial small subunit ribosomal RNA", at positions 117 to 471 of the family's 1533-position model. The record is from RNAcentral.